GUGGAAACAAGGCUAGGUGAUUAAGGGAGAAAGGGAGAGUCUGAAAACAAGGUUAGGUAUUACAAUGUCAAUAAAAUUGGUCUCCUUAUACAGUACUAUGGUAGAUUUCUUUCCAUCUUUAAUCUCCCUCUAGCACCACCAGACUUUUUCUCUCUGUACCUUGAGAUGUAAAUUUUGCUAUCUGAAUUUUCGUCUAAGAGUUGUUUCCUUUAAUAUGCAAAUUUAGGGUUAUUUAGCUGACAACUGCCAAAGUAGUGAAACAAGUUAUCAAGAACUUGAACGUCUAAGGACAUGAAACUUCACAACCUGCUAAAAAUGAACUUUCCUAAUAACUCAGAACCUACCUGUCUAGGAAUAAACCAUCCUAGCCUUGAGCAAUCAGAUGAAACCUGGGACCAGAGACUCAUUUUCUUCUAAAAUGCUUUCUCUAAAAGAUUUUUAAAAAGAAAAGGGGGGAAAUGUGAAAGGAAAAUAAAUCUUGGGGCCUCCAAAUCACAAAGCUAAAGGAAAAAGUCAAGCUGGGAACUUCUUAGGGCAAACCUGCCUGUCUUUCUAUUCAAAGUCAUCCCUCUGCUCACUGAGAUAAUUGCACAUCUGAUUGCCUCCUUUGGAAAGGAUAAUCAGAAACUCAAAGAAUGCAACUGUUUGUCUCUCACCUACCUGUGACAUGGAAGCCCCCUCCCUGCUUCAAGUUGUCCUGCCUUUCUAGGCAGAACCAGUGUACAUCUUACAUAUAUUGAUUGAUGACUUACGUCUCCCUAAAAUAUAUAAAACCAAGCUGUGCUCUUACCACCUUGGGCACAUGUGGUCAGGACCUCCUGAUGCUCUUGUCGUGAGUGGGUGGGUGUUCUCAACCUUGGAAAAAUAAACUUUCUAAAUUAACUGAGACCUGGGUCAGAUUUUUGGGGUUCACAGCAACAAUUUAAAAAACUCACCAUUGACCUGAAAUUUUGACCUUAUGCUGUUCCUCACACUCAGCCAUGAAAAUAGACACCAUCCUAUGAGCUCCCUCAGCCAUGUCCUGCCACACUUCCAACAUGUGUCCCCAUCCACCAUCUGUUUUCUUAUUGCUGCAUCCUACCCAGGCCCUGAUCUCUGGACCCAUUGUUGUAUAAUUAAGAAUUUGGGGCUGGGCAUGGUGGCUGUGGCUCAC
Molecule: long non-coding RNA, 1153 nt
Filed under: Homo sapiens (human)
Lineage: Eukaryota; Metazoa; Chordata; Mammalia; Primates; Hominidae
Description: HSALNT0037997
Source: RNAcentral